This is a small nuclear RNA of Gadus morhua (Atlantic cod), 176 nucleotides long. Its record names the gene U2. It matches the Rfam family "U2 spliceosomal RNA". From Rfam's summary of the family: U2 is a small nuclear RNA (snRNA) component of the spliceosome (involved in pre-mRNA splicing). Complementary binding between U2 snRNA (in an area lying towards the 5' end but 3' to hairpin I) and the branchpoint sequence (BPS) of the intron results the bulging out of an unpaired adenosine, on the BPS, which initiates a nucleophilic attack at the intronic 5' splice site, thus starting the first of two transesterification reactions that mediate splicing. The record is from Ensembl. NCBI's taxonomy places the organism in Eukaryota, Metazoa, Chordata, Actinopteri, Gadiformes, Gadidae.
AUACAUUUUUUUCAAAUGAAAAAUCUGUUCUUAUCAGUUUAAUAUCUGAUACGUCCCCUACCCGGGGGCCAUAUAUUAAAUUGAUUUUUGGAACUGGGAGAUGGAAAAGGCGCUUGCUCCGUCCACUCCACGCAUCGUCCUGGUAUUGCAGUACCUCCAGGACCGGUGCAACCCUC